Molecule: ribosomal RNA, 467 nt
Filed under: uncultured bacterium
Lineage: Bacteria
Description: partial 16S ribosomal RNA
Rfam family: Bacterial small subunit ribosomal RNA
Source: RNAcentral
GACGAACGCUGGCGGCGUGCUUAACACAUGCAAGUCGAACGGAAAGGCCCUGCUUUUGUGGGGUGCUCGAGUGGCGAACGGGUGAGUAACACGUGAGUAACCUGCCCUUGACUUUGGGAUAACUUCAGGAAACUGGGGCUAAUACCGGAUAGGAGCUCCUGCUGCAUGGUGGGGGUUGGAAAGUUUCGGCGGUUGGGGAUGGACUCGCGGCUUAUCAGCUUGCUGGUGGGGUAGUGGCUUACCAAGGCUUUGACGGGUAGCCGGCCUGAGAGGGUGGCCGGCCACAUUGGGGCUGAGAGACGGCCCAGACUACUACGGGAGGCAGCAGUGGGGAAUAUAGCACAAUGGGCGGAAGCCUGAUGCAGCAACGCCGCGUGCGGGAUGACGGCCGUCGGGUUGUAACCCGCUUUCGCCUGUGACGAAGCGUGAGUGACGGUAAUGGGUAAAGAAGCACCGGCUAACUACGU